AGUGGAGCCUGCGGCUUAAUUUGACUCAACACGGGAAACCUCACCAGGCCCGGACACCGGAAGGAUUGACAGAUUGAGAGCUCUUUCUUGAUUCGGUGGGUGGUGGUGCAUGGCCGUUCUUAGUUGGUGGAGCGAUUUGUCUGGUUAAUUCCGAUAACGAACGAGACUCUAGCCUGCUAACUAGGCGUAUUUCGACAUCCCAAAGGCCCGCCGGUUUGGGGUUCCGACUCCUUUCUGCGCGCGGUUUUUACUGUCGGCGUACAAACAAUUCUUCUUAGAGGGACAGGCGGCUUCUAGCCGCACGAGAUUGAGCAAUAACAGGUCUGUGAUGCCCUUAGAUGUUCUGGGCCG
This 351-nucleotide ribosomal RNA is filed under the name Megopis sinica. RNAcentral's name for it is "SSU rRNA". It matches the Rfam family "Eukaryotic small subunit ribosomal RNA", at positions 1175 to 1489 of the family's 1831-position model. The record is from RNAcentral. Lineage: Eukaryota; Metazoa; Arthropoda; Insecta; Coleoptera; Cerambycidae.